UGAGGAAUUUUGCGCAAUGGGGGAAACCCUGACGCAGCAACGCCGCGUGAGUGAUGAAGGCCUUCGGGUUGUAAAGCUCUGUCUGGUGGGAAGAACCCGCGCAUGGGUAAUAUUCAUGCGCGCUGACGGUACCACCGAAGGAAGCACCGGCUAACUCCGUGCCAGCAGCCGCGGUAAUACGGAGGGUGCGAGCGUUAUUCGGAAUUACUGGGCGUAAAGGGCGCGUAGGCGGUCCAUUAAGUCAGGUGUGAAAUCCCGGGGCUUAACCCCGGAAGUGCAUUUGAUACUGGUGGACUUGAGUAUGGGAGAGGGAAGCGGAAUUCCUGGUGUAGCGGUGAAAUGCGUAGAUAUCAGGAGGAACACCGGUGGCGAAGGCGGCUUCCUGGACCAAUACUGACGCUGAGGCGCGAAGGCGUGGGUAGCAAACA
RNAcentral lists this ribosomal RNA (428 nucleotides) under uncultured prokaryote. RNAcentral describes it as "bacterial SSU rRNA". It matches the Rfam family "Bacterial small subunit ribosomal RNA", at positions 355 to 774 of the family's 1533-position model. The record is from RNAcentral.